This 253-nucleotide ribosomal RNA is filed under the name uncultured bacterium. RNAcentral's name for it is "partial 16S ribosomal RNA". It matches the Rfam family "Bacterial small subunit ribosomal RNA", at positions 524 to 776 of the family's 1533-position model. The record is from RNAcentral.
UACGAAGGGGGCUAGCGUUGCUCGGAAUUACUGGGCGUAAAGCGCACGUAGGCGGUCUUUUAAGUCGGGGGUGAAAUCCUGGAGCUCAACUCCAGAACUGCCUUCGAUACUGGAAGACUUGAGUCCGGGAGAGGUGAGUGGAACUGCGAGUGUAGAGGUGAAAUUCGUAGAUAAUCGCAAGAACACCAGUGGCGAAGGCGGCUCACUGGCCCGGUACUGACGCUGAGGUGCGAAAGCGUGGGGAGCAAACAGG